This 368-nucleotide long non-coding RNA is filed under the name Elaeis guineensis (African oil palm). RNAcentral describes it as "long non-coding RNA (EGUI_LNC047858)". Lineage: Eukaryota; Viridiplantae; Streptophyta; Magnoliopsida; Arecales; Arecaceae. The record is from RNAcentral.
UCGGUGUGUGUCAAGAUGGAAUUGACUACUCUAAAUUAAUAGAAGAUAUGCAUCAGUGUAUUUCAAUUUAAAAAAAUCUUGACCAGGAUAAUUCAUGAGAUAGAUUUAAAAAGUUGAAAUACAAUAUGGUCGACUAAAUUAAGAUUGACAGUUAAAUCCUAGAUCACCUUGAGCAUUAGGGUCAAAGGGAUGAAUUAUACGGCAACCAUACGCCAGUAGAUUUUAGAAUAUUGCUUUGCAAUACUUUGACCUAUCCAGUCGUCAGGUCACCAUUGUUAGAUGGUUAUAUUGAUUAGUAUAAAAAGUUAUUCCUAUACUAUCAGCUUAGAUUUGAACCUAUAAGGUCACACACAUUAGAAGAUUUGAUC